RNAcentral lists this ribosomal RNA (200 nucleotides) under uncultured eukaryote. RNAcentral's name for it is "partial 18S ribosomal RNA". It matches the Rfam family "Eukaryotic small subunit ribosomal RNA", at positions 588 to 793 of the family's 1831-position model. The record is from RNAcentral.
GCUCCAAUAGCGUAUACUAAAGUUGUUGCAGUUAAAAAGCUCGUAGUUGGAUUUCUGGCGGGGAUGGCUGGUUGGUCCGACAAGGGGCUGUACUAUUGCUUAUUCCGUCAUCCUUGGGGAGAGCAGUUCUGGCAUUAAGUUGUUGGGGCUGGGAUCCUAUCUUACUGUGAAAAAAUUAGAGUGUUCAAAGCAGGCUUAGG